UACGGAGGGUGCUAGCGUUGUUCGGAAUUACUGGGCGUAAAGGGCGCGUAGGCGGCCGUUUGCGUCGGAUGUGAAAGCCCGGGGCUCAACCUCGGAACGGCAUUCGAUACGGGACGGCUGGAGACCGGGAGAGGAGAGUGGAAUAGCCAGUGUAGAGGUGAAAUUCGUAGAUAUGGGGCGGAACACCGGUGGCGAAGGCGGCCAUCUGGACGGUAACUGACGCUGAGCCGCGAAAGCGUGGGGAGCAAACAGG
This 253-nucleotide ribosomal RNA is filed under the name uncultured bacterium. RNAcentral's name for it is "partial 16S ribosomal RNA". It matches the Rfam family "Bacterial small subunit ribosomal RNA", at positions 524 to 776 of the family's 1533-position model. The record is from RNAcentral.